This 28-nucleotide small RNA is filed under the name Bombyx mori (domestic silkworm). Its description in RNAcentral is "ovarian small RNA-29255". Lineage: Eukaryota; Metazoa; Arthropoda; Insecta; Lepidoptera; Bombycidae. The record is from RNAcentral.
UCGUCGUCGGCUCGAUGGUGAUUCUGGU